Molecule: small nuclear RNA, 107 nt
Organism: Pan paniscus (pygmy chimpanzee)
Lineage: Eukaryota; Metazoa; Chordata; Mammalia; Primates; Hominidae
Source: Ensembl
GUGUUCACUUCAGCAGCACAUAUGCUAAAAUCGGAAUGAUACAGAGAAGAUCAGCAUGACCCCUAUGCAAGGAGGUUGUGCAAAUUCACGAAGUGUUUCAUAUUUUU